This 460-nucleotide ribosomal RNA is filed under the name uncultured bacterium. RNAcentral describes it as "partial 16S ribosomal RNA". It matches the Rfam family "Bacterial small subunit ribosomal RNA", at positions 338 to 795 of the family's 1533-position model. The record is from RNAcentral.
CCUACGGGAGGCAGCAGUGAGGAAUAUUGGUCAAUGGACGAGAGUCUGAACCAGCCAAGUAGCGUGAAGGAUGACUGCCCUAUGGGUUGUAAACUUCUUUUAUAUGGGAAUAAAAUGUUCCACGUGUGGGAUUUUGUAUGUACCAUAUGAAUAAGGAUCGGCUAAAUCCGUUCCAGCAGCCGCGGUAAUACGGAGGAUCCGGGCGUUAUCCGGAUUUAUUGGGUUUAACGGGAGCGUAGGUGGAUUGUUAAGUCAGUUGGGAAAGUUUGCGGCUCAACCGUAAAAUUGCAGUUGAAACUGGCAGUCUUGAGUACAGUAGAGGUGGGCGGAAUUCGUGGUGUAGCGGUGAAAUGCUUAGAUAUCACGAAGAACUCCGAUUGUGAAGGCAGUUCACUGGACUGCAACUGACACUGAGGCUCGAAAGUGUGGGUAUCAAACAGGAUUAGAUACCCUAGUAGUC